Molecule: ribosomal RNA, 254 nt
Filed under: uncultured bacterium
Lineage: Bacteria
Description: partial 16S ribosomal RNA
Rfam family: Bacterial small subunit ribosomal RNA
Source: RNAcentral
UACGUAGGGUGCGAGCGUUGUCCGGAAUUAUUGGGCGUAAAGAGCUCGUAGGCGGUCUGUCGCGUCGGUCGUGAAAACUUGGGGCUUAACCCUGAGCUUGCGGUCGAUACGGGCAUGACUGGAGUUCGGCAGGGGAGACUGGAAUUCCUGGUGUAGCGGUGAAAUGCGCAGAUAUCAGGAGGAACACCGAUGGCGAAGGCAGGUCACUGGGCCGCAACUGACGCUGAGGAGCGAAAGCGUGGGGAGCGAACAGG